Oncorhynchus keta (chum salmon) is the source of this 1003-nucleotide long non-coding RNA. RefSeq lists it as uncharacterized. The transcript has 5 exons. The record is from RefSeq and is a predicted model, not a curated record. NCBI's taxonomy places the organism in Eukaryota, Metazoa, Chordata, Actinopteri, Salmoniformes, Salmonidae.
GAUAGAUGUGAGAAGGAAUUUAUAUACACAAAGAGCUGUUUGUAUGUGGCUGCUAUGAAAGAGAACUGUGUUUGCGUGUGCUCAGGGGUGUGUUCAUUGCACCGAUUCUGUAGAAAAACCGGGAUAAACAUACCUGAAUUUGUCCAAUAGAAACUCUCGUUUGCAACUGUUGGGACUAAUGAUUACACUCUAGAUCAGCUAGAUGCAGGAAAGAGUGUGCAAGGCGGUAUUGAAUAUGUUUAGUCUGUCACCUUUAUUCCUCAAUUCUCUCAACCUGUGUGCACCUGCGUUGUAAACUGUCCUUCAUAGGCUAGGUUAUAAACUGUCCUUCAUAGGCUAGGUUAUAAACUGUCCUUCAUAGGCUAGGUUAUAAACUGUCAUUCAUAGGCUAGGUUAUAAACUGUCCUUCAUAGGCUAGGUUAUAAACUGUCAUUCAUAGGCUAGGUUAUAAACUGUCAUUCAUAGGCUAGGUUAUAAACUGUCAUUCAUAGACUAGGUUAUAAACUGUCAUUCAUAGGCUAGGUUAUAAACUGUCAUUCAUAGGCUAGGUUAUAAACUGUCAUUCAUAGGCUAGGUUAUAAACUGUCCUUCAUAGGCUAGGUUAUAAACUGUCAUUCAGAGGCUAGGUUAUAAACUGUCAUUCAGAGGCUAGGUUAUAAACUGUCCUUCAUAGGCUAGGUUAUAAACUGUCCUUCAUAGGCUAGGUUAUAAACUGUCCUUCAUAGGCUAGGUUAUAAACUGUCCUUCAUAGGCUAGGUUAUAAACUGUCCUUCAUAGGCUAGGUUAUAAACUGUCCUUCAUAGGCUAGGUUAUAAACUGUCCUUCAUAGGCUAGGUUAUAAACUGUCCUUCAUAGGCUAGGUUAUAAACUGUCCUUCAUAGGCUAGGUUAUAAACUGUCAUUCAUAGGCUAGGUUAUAAACUGUCAUUCAUAGGCUAGGUUAUAAACUGUCAUUCAUAGGCUAGGUUAUAAACUGUCAUUCAUAGGCUAGGUUAUAAACUGUC